GGGUGUGUAAGCGCAGCGAUGCGUUGAGCUAACCGGUACUAAUGACCCGUGAGGCUUAACCUUACAACGCCAGAGGCGUUU
RNAcentral lists this ribosomal RNA (81 nucleotides) under Pantoea sp. ARC270. RNAcentral describes it as "partial 23S ribosomal RNA". The record is from RNAcentral. Lineage: Bacteria; Pseudomonadati; Pseudomonadota; Gammaproteobacteria; Enterobacterales; Erwiniaceae.